AUUUACUCUGUCUUCCUCUCAAGUCUAACCGAAGCCCAACAAACCACCACCUCGGCCAUGGCAACCACCCUCGCCACCGACGUCCGCCUCUCCAUCGCGCACCAGACCCGCUUCGCCCUCCGUCUCGCCUCCACCAUCUCAUCCGCCCUAAGUCUGCUGCCAGCAAUGCCGCCUUCUCCCCGGUCUCCCUCCACUCCGCACUUAGCCUCCUCGACGCUGGCGCGGGCAGUGCCACUCGGGACCAACUCGUCGCCACACUCGGGACAGGCGAGGUCGAGGGACUCCACGCGCUCGCCGAGCAGGUGGUCCAGUUUGUGCUCGCCGACGCGUCCUCUGCUGGAGGUCCGCGUGUCGCCUUUGCCAAUGGCGUCUUCGUGGACGCGUCGCUGCUCCUCAAGCCAUCCUUCCAAGAGAUUGCAGUGUGCAAGUACAAGGCCGAGACCCAAUCCAUGGACUUCCAAACUAAGGUGACCCCCCCCCCCAACUUGGUUCUUACCAGAAAACAAAAACAAUGUAAAAGAAUUUUUAACGGACCUAAUUAUGUACAUUUGAGAGAAACAAUGACAUGCUUAACUAACUACUUCAGCCGCCUGUACAUGUUGGCAUGCCACUGCUUCACUCAGAGAGUUUGUUUUCUGCUGAUGUAAUAUAGAGGUCUAUAUUAAUCUUAUACACAUUCUAGAUUUGUAAUUUAGUGGUUAUCGUAUAUCACUGUUUUUUACACUAGAAGCUUCACCUUUGUAAGCAUAGUUCACACCUGCGACCUUGAACUGUGAAUGAUUUUGCUUAUCCUGUUAGUCAGCAUGAUUGGAGAUAACUAGUCUGUUACUUUUCUGAGCAUACCUAAUCUUUUGGGAGUGUAAUUCUCAUACCGUGCUAUCUAGGGAUAUGAAGGCUGGGGAAUUUGCUGAUGUUUUAUACUUUAAUUACGCUCUUCAGCGAAGUGAGAUUAUAAUUUUGGGAGUAUUUCCUGGAAACUUUGUCUCCAACGUAAGAAGAUGUACAAAAAAUCAGCUAAAGAUUAUAAUUUUGGGAAUAUUUCUGUAAAAGGUAUUGCAUAGUGGUGCUUCGAGAUGUUGUGAUGACCAUUUAAAUUUGUAUGCUCAUAUGAAUUGUUUUUCUAUCAUACGUCGUUGUAUGUGCUGAUUUUACUAUGUGUUUGAAAAUUUUACUAUAGAAAUGCUUUAUAAAAACGCUAGUAUGCUGCUUUGCAUUCUUAGCACAACUAUUAUAUUUUGUUCUUUGAAAGAAUUUUCUAUUGGUUUGUUCAAAGGUUGGUGGCACAGCAGUACCGUCAAACUAUUUUCAUUACAUAACUGACCUUUGUUUAUUUUUUCCAUGGCCCAGGCCGCUGAAGUUACUACUCAAGUGAACUCAUGGGUAGAGAAAGUCACGAGCGGUCGCAUCAAGGACAUUCUCCCCUCAGGAUCUAUUGACAAUACCACUAAACUUGUUCUUGCCAAUGCCCUUUAUUUCAAAGGAGCUUGGACAGAGCAGUUUGAUUCAUAUGGAACAAAAAACGACUACUUCUACCUUCUUGAUGGGAGCUCAGUUCAAACACCAUUCAUGUCCAGCAUGGAUGACCAAUACCUUUUGUCUUCUGAUGGGUUGAAGGUACUUAAGCUUCCUUACAAGCAAGGUGGGGACAAUAGGCAGUUCUCCAUGUAUAUCCUUCUUCCAGAAGCACCGGGUGGUCUCUCAAGCUUGGCCGAAAAAUUGAGUGCUGAACCAGACUUCCUGGAGCGGCAUAUCCCAAGGCAGAGGGUUGCACUUAGGCAAUUCAAGCUCCCCAAGUUCAAGAUAUCAUUUGGAAUUGAAGCAUCCGAUUUGCUCAAAUGUUUGGGCCUCCAGCUUCCAUUCGGCGAUGAAGCGGAUUUUUCGGAGAUGGUGGAUUCCCUAAUGCCACAAGGUCUUCGUGUCUCAUAUGUUUUCCACCAAGCGUUUGUGGAAGUGAACGAACAAGGAACUGAGGCUGCAGCAUCAACUACUAUUAAAAUGGUCCCGCAACAGGCAAGGCCGCCCUCGGUCAUGGAUUUCAUCGCGGAUCACCCUUUCCUCUUCCUUCUCCGGGAAGACAUCUCUGGUGUGGUCCUAUUCAUGGGUCAUGUGGUCAAUCCCCUCUUAUCUUCGUAAUGUGUUUGCUCUGAAAGUGUGUGUUGUCAGUUGCCCUCAGCCAUUACAUGUAAGGGAAGGGUUUCGACGGUCAGUCAUGUUACCGAUACAAUAAAUCCAAUAAAUGGUUCUCCUAAGAUAUCCAAUAAAUUGUCUUUUAAUAACUGCUUGCUUGUUGUGCAAAGGAAAACCAAUUGGACUAUUUUUCAUUAAUCAUUGUGGAUUUGUGGUAGUGCGGAUUUCUCAAAGAACUACUCAUGCCAAAAGAAAAAAUCUAAGUCAUCUUGAUUAGUACUAUCCGACAUGAAUCUCAUCGUCAUUAACAUCUAUAUUUCACAAAAAAAUGCCAAUGGCCACUUUUUGAGAUUGAAUAUGCUCUUCAAUUUCUCUUCUUCUUAGAUUUUUCAUAUCCUCGCUUAUCUUUAGAUACACUAUAACUCCUUGAGAUUGGAGCUCCCAGGGCCGAUUGUGUUGAUCGAUUUACAUGGCCCCACAUGAACGGACGUGACCUUCCACGCUACCCUCUUCCUUGCCGCAGAUCCUUCCUCAGUUUCUCUCCCUUCCGAGAAUCUAUUCCGACAUAGAGACAACGCCUCCAGCACUAUAGUUGGUGCGGCCGACCGCUUUCUGGCUCUCCUCUCCGAUUCCCUGCCUCAGAGCAUCUACAGCCUCAAACACGGUGUGUCUGCGGGCACUGAUCGGUCACUUCACAAAUUGGCAUCUACAUUCGUGUAUUUCAUAUCAGAUCUCCUAUAUCCAUACUAAACUAUGUAGCAUUGAUCAAACUACGUAUAUCAUCAAACGGACAAAAAAUGCACUAUACGUUCAUCAAAAGAUCAUCAACGGAUCUUCGAAAUACCGCCAAAGUUCACAUAGUGCACAUAAAUGACGGACAACUUUAAACUACGUCUAAAAACUGAGCGGAUCUUCAUCACUUCCUCGCCGGAACUUUCCCUUUUCGGUCGCCAGCACAGCUGUAGGCGUCGGCGGCUGGUGGAGGAUCGUCCGAGUCGUCGGACGAGGCGCCGUGGUCGUCACUAUCGUCAGAGGAGGAGCAGAGGAUGAUGAGGCGUUUGAGGCGCCGGACGGCCCGGUCCUGCUGCCGUUUGAGCUCCGCCAGCCGAGCCGCCUCCAAUGCUUUCUCCUCUGCCUCGCGCUCGAACUGCUCGAUGGCAAGCCGGAGCACCUUGGCGUUCUUCCAGCGGAGCUGCCGAUCAUCCGUCUCCGCUGUCGUAAGCGACCGGCAGUAGACCCAAGUGGGGAACCGCUCGUCCCCGUCGAGCUCCGCCGGAAACCCGCGGCGGCGGCGGACAUAUUACUCCUCCGCGUCCCUCUCCCUUGCCCGCUGCCUGCGGUGGCGGGCGUCGGACAGAUUUCUCCGCCGCGUCCCUCUUCCUUGCUCGCUGCCUGUCGUGGCGGGCGGCGCGCGCCUAGCGUGCAUGCCGCGCUCGCUGGGCGGGCACAAGUACCCACCGCUACCCAUGUGGGGGAGCAGCAGCCGACGAGGACAGGGGAUAGUGUGGGGGAGGCGCGGACUGCGCAGCCCUCGUGGCGCUGCGUGUGGGCCGGGAGGGGCCUGCGCCGGCGUCCUCGCUGCGCUGGAAGGGGAGAGGUGAGGCGGCAGAUCCGGAACUGACCUCCGUGUCCACCUUGGACCUCUCGACGGCAAUGCGGAGAGCCAGCACCUCGUCGAUGUUGACGUCAGAGUCGGAGCGGCUGCCGGAACUAGACAUGGUCGCCGGAGUCGUUUGACUGAAUCGAAUCUGGGAAAUCCGAGGAGGAGAAGAGAUGAAACGAGAGCGGAGCGAGGUAGGGUUUUCGAUUGGGGAUAUUUGUGGUGACGGCGUGGGGCCGGUGUGGACCGGGCUACCAUGGCGGACGCACCCGGGGCGCUCGAUAUCCGCCCUAGAUUUGAUCUGAAUAUGAGGGGAGUGAGACAGUCCAAGCAUUUGAGGCUUGUUUGAGGACACGUCUGGAUCAAAUUUUCAUGCUCGGUCAAUGAUCGCGCCAUCCGUCCGGACGUUUGAGACGGAUUUAGAAUGCGCGCCUGUAGAUGCUCUCGGCCUCAAUCUUUCGCCUCCAAACGUUCCCCCGCGACCAACCCAAUCCAGGCCUCGUUCACCGUCUAGCAGUCGUCUGCGCCGCCUCCCGCAAUUCCUCCGACCUCCGGUGCAACACUUCAUGUAACUUCCCUGGAUCAUCGCGCUUCCCGCGCCGUCUCGUCGACAGUCGACGUGCGCUUCUCAUGUUCAAUUUUUCAAGGAUAGUGUCACCGCUUUUUUCUCAUAGUGUUUGGCUGCUCGAUCACCUGGCCGCUGUUAAUCUCAUCUCGGUGAUGCAGCAAACAAAGGAGAGUGCGGGUCUGCAGUUCAAGGUCAGACUGCAGUGCAACUGUGCAAUGUAAGUUUGACUGACACGCUUGGAUCUGCCGCGUCUUUGUGCUGGGUGCUAGUCGCUGCCCUGCUAGAUGCAUGGAAGAGUUGCAUGUAUACACACCGGUGUUGAGCGUUGGUGGCCUCAUUGGUGACUGUCGUGGUUCUAAGUCUGACAAUAGAAUGGGGGGUAAGUAUGGAAAGGCAAGGUCCUAGCUAUGGAGUAGUUGUACACACGGGUGUUUAGCGAGUUUAGACCCUUCUCUGAGGAAGUAACAGCCCUACGUCUCGGAGCCCGGAGGCGGUCGACUGAUCUCUAUGUAUAUGAGUUACAGAAGUGCGAACCUUUCUACCAGUGGAGGGGGGUGGCUUAUAUAGAGGACGCCAGGACCCCAGCCAGCCCACAUAGAGGAGGGUUAAAGUACAUUAAGGCUGGGCGUUACUGGUAACGCCCUAUAUAAAGUGUCAUCAUGACCAUUAAGACUAUUUAAUUACAGACCGUUUGGAUGCAGAGUAGAUCCUGAACUUCCGAUAGUCGAGUGCGUCUUCAUGGUCGAGUGUCUUCUAGCUAGUCGGGUGGAGUCUCCCUUGGUAGAGUGGAGCUUCUUUUGGUCGACCGGAAGGUAGCUUCGUAUGAUAAUGUCCUUUGGCAUGGUAUCCUAGAUAGGUCCAUGACCCUAACCUAGGUACAUAACCUCAUCAUUAGCCCCCGAAUGGAUCGAGGUUCGAGUGAGGAAGGAGUUGACGAUUUUCUCCGACUUAUUUACUGUACUUUGAUUGUGUCGUAUCUUGGAUCGGCGAUUCUUCUUUCGGCGCUGGCGUCGACUUUUACUUCAGUCGCCUUGAUCCAUUCUUAUCUUUUGUCGAGUGAACUUUUGAACUCCGGUGAACUUACGAGCGACGGAUCGCGGGAAGGAUAUCGUCUGACAGAUUGAUCUGCUGUUAGCGGAUUUUGCGGGAUCUGAAAUUUGGGAAGCGCACGAAGCGGGGCAAUCCGCGGCAAUCGGGCGGGAUAAGGCAUGGACGCCUUGAUUUCCGCGUCGCCUUUUUCGCCACGUAUCGUACGUGUGCGACUGUUUCGGGAUGUGACAGAUCUGCUCGGACCCACUCGUCAGCCACUCGGAAGCGCCCUUAUAUAAAGCGUCGGGGAAGAGUUUUUGAACAGUGCCUCCCCAUUCUCCUCUCUUCCCUCUCUGCCUCCGCCCACGGCGCCUGCUCCUAGCUCCGCCUUAUCCACCUCUCGAGCGCUUCGCCGACGAUAAUGGUGAAGGAGAAGACGGCGGUUCUAGAGCGCGCGAAGAAGGUGACGGCGACGGGGCAAGCGAAGGGGAGACCGUCCAGUCGGGGCGGAUCUUCGUCGAGGUCCCGCCUGCCGAAGGGUUGGGUCCAAGGGGAUUGGAUCCGCUCGACCAUCACUGGGAAGGACCUCGACGACCUGGCCAAUGAGGGACUGAUCCCCCACGGGUCAGCAAGGCCCCCGGGGUCCGAGUGUCAACCGCAGCCGCAGGAGGGUGAGCGCGUUCUCUUAGCCACUCACGUAGAUCGUGGUUUUUCUCUGCCGCCGAGUGUGUUCUUCCGUGGGUUUCUGAAAUUCUUUGGGGCGCAACUCCACCAUUUCAAUCCCAAUUCCAUCGCCUAUCUUGCUGCCUUUGUGUCCAUGUGCGAGAACUUCCUGGGUUGUCGACCGCACUGGGGUCUCUUCAAGCACAUAUUCACCUGUCGGUCGCAGACCGUAAAAAAGGCGAGCUCGGGUGAUGAGAGGACCAAGGUUAUUCAGAUGUGCGGGGGUCUUGGGAUUCAGUUGAGGAAUAAGAGCACUUUCCCGGCCAUGACCCUUCCUGAGUCGGUCAGAGGGUGGCAGUCGACUUGAUUCUACUGCCAAGACGAGUCGACGCCGGGGCAGUCGACUGGUCUCCCUCCGUUCUCCAUGGACCGAGUGGUCAAACCGUCUUCUCUGAAGGUGCUUCCUGAGGAGAAAGCCGAGGUAAAAAUGUUGGUGGAGCGCAUGGUCCAACUCGUUCGGGACGGAGUGACGGGCAUGGAUCUUCUGAAAGUAUUCCUUAGGCGGCGCAUCCAACCGCUCCAGUAUCGAGGCCACCCGAUGUGGUUGUACUGCGGUACCGAAGACACCACUCGGGUCCAUCCAGAGGCAGUCGACGACGCCACGCUGGAGAGGUGGGUGACCUCCAUCACAGGGAACAAGGACAACCGUCGAGGAGUGAGGAGGAUCCCGCCACUCGACUGUACCUAUACGCCGGACAAGGUAUGGCCGCUUAUCUCCGAGUGUAAUUUUGUUUUAUCCAUUCUGCUUUGCCACAAAUUGGUCGAUUGAUCUUUGUUUUGCUCUGUUGUCUGAUAGGCCACCACUGAAUUGUACUCGAUUCCCAAUGGGGCGCAGACGCCGACUGAGGAGGAGGAAGGAAGCGGGGGCGAAAGCCCGGAGGAGUGGGAUUCAGAUGUCGACGACGACGAUGAGGGUGAUGACUCUAGUGAGGAGGAAGAAGAGGAGGAAGAGGAGGAAGUUGCACCUCCCCGCUCGGAAAGACGCUCGAAGCUUGCCCAUGAUCCAGCGACUGAGCGGGGUAAGGGGGUCGCAACCGCUUCUCAGUCGACCAAGCGCCCUCGGACCACUUCUCCGGCGCCGACUGAGAAGGCUCCGAAGCAAUCUCGAGUGGCACCGUCGAAGCCUGCAAAGGUCUUGCCGAAGAUGAAGAUGGUGAUCCCCACUAUCUCAGGGUAAUGGUAGUUUUGAGCUUUCCCUGUUUCAUGAACUUGUUCUUGGUCGACUCAUGGUCCAAUCGACUGACUUUUGGAACUGCAGCGUUGCUACUUCCGACACUUCGGCGAGAGCCGAAGACCACGAGAUGGAGGAUGCUGCAACCUCGAACCCUGGUAUGACUCCUGCGUUGCCGUUUUCAGUCGACUGACUCAUUGUCUCUAAUUUUUAUUCUUUCUGCAGUUUCAUCUAACAUUGUUAUUGACCUUCCUGACGACGACGAUGAAUAACCACCACGGCCGAGGAAAAGCAAGAAAACGUCGGCUGGCAAGGCGACUCAGGAUGUGCCGGCACCCGAGACGUUAGUCGUGGAGGGAGACAAUGUCACUCGACCCACCGUAACCUUCGCGGUGCCGUUGAUGAGUGCUCGCCCUUCAUCGUCGAGUGCUGCUCAACCCUCGCUUUUCUCCACCUACCCCGUUCCAGAAGACCAAGCCAGUGCUGCCAAAGAAGCGAUACGCCAGGCGGGGGUCAUGAUGGAGCAAGUGAAGGCAAUUCGAGAAGCCAGCCAGGCAGCCUAUGACGCCAGUUCGGCACUCCAGAGUAAUGUUCAGGUCAGUCGGUCACUGCCUGUUCUUCUUUCUGAAAUUCCUAGAGUCUGUCCUACACCCAGUGGGUGUGUGUCGAUUAAAAUUCCGGGUUAGUGGGGGCACGCUGAGUGCACCCACUGGGUGUAGUCCCCAAGGCUAUGGUGGACUGCUGGCAGUCGACCAUAGUCUUAAUGCUUUGAGUUUUUCUUUACUCGACAAGGUCGAAUAGAUUCAUAGACCGGUGGGGGCACGCUGAGUGCACCCACUGGGUGUAGUCCCCGAGACUGUGGUCGACUGCUGGCAGUUGACUAUAGUCUAAAGAACAUUGCCUCUCUUUUUUUUGUUGGUCGACUAGUCGACUCUUGAUGAAACUAGUGGGGGCACGCUGAGUGCACCCACUGGGUGUAGUCCCCGAGACUAUGGUCGAAUGUUUGCAUUCGACCGUAGUCUUAGAAACGCUAUGAUUUUUCCUUACUCACUCGGAAGUGAAUUUUCUUUGACGUCUGUCGAUUGAUUCUUCGUAGAAAUCAUGUGACCUUGUGGCUCGUUAUACUGAGUUGGAGAACAAACACAUUCAGCUCGAGCUCGAUCUGAAACUGGCCCAAGAGACCUUGACGAAGGCGAAGGAGGAAGCUAAAGGUAUGCUUGGUGAGGCCUUUGACGACUGCCUUUGCCUCUCACUUGUUUCCGAAUCUGAUCUCACUGUAACUUUGUAGGCAAAGUGAUGGACGCCCUGAAGAAACAAGAGCUUGACUUGGCUGAGAUGCAAAAGACUGCUUUAGAGAAGACCAGGCUAGCGGAUGAGAAGCUGGCUUCAGUGACUAAGCUUGAAGAAGAAAACACCAAUCUGAAAGCUGCUCUUGAUGCUGCCAACCAGGAGGUCACUUAACUGAAAAGCGACAAGACCACCCUGAAUGACAAGGCCAGUGAGUUGAAGAGAAAGAAGAAUGAUCUAGAGGCUUAUCUGGGUGGACUCGCCAAGAAGUUGUUCCUCAUGCUUGAAGGUAAUCCUUUGUAUCGAACAAAUAUUUUAAUUGUAACCUCUGACUGUUUGUCUUGACUCGGUGGUUGUGCUUGCAGAAUUUUGUCAGAACUUUGAAGAGGAGACUGGUCGACUGGAAGUGAACCUGGACCCCAUCAACUCUCCUGUGAAAGAUGAAGUUGCCAUGAACAUGCUCCGACUUGAAUCUCGUGUUGCUGCUAUCAUCGAUUAUCUCGCAAGGCUGAAGGUCGCAACUUCCUGCAUCGACACAACACUCUGGCCAAGAGAGACACUCCAGAACGACCUCGAGUCUCUGAUGACUCGACUGAACGAGGUCCCAAGUCGAGUGCAGGAGUGGAAGAAGUCUUCGGCCAGGUGUGGCGCGGAUGUUGCUCUAUCUCUGGUCCGCGUUCACUGCAAGGAUGCAUGAGAGGACAAGCUGGUGGCUCUCAGGGUGGCCAACACCAAGAAGCACGAUUUCAGAUCCUUCAUGGAGACCUUCAUUGCCGCUGCCACUCGGAUUGCAGAUGGAAUCGAUCUGGACGAGUUUGUGGCACCUUCCAGCCCUCCACAGGAGGGGUAAAAAACUUUUGAGCUUGAUACUUUAAAUUUGCCUCGGUAUGCCGAGUGAGUUUUGUAACCGACAAACCUUAACAGGCCUAGCGCCUGAGCACUUUCGGUUCCGCUAGGUGUUAUCCAAACUUGGGUUCGUCGCUGAAUAUGUUUGCAUUUGGUUUGAGGCGUCUUUUGCAGGUUAAAGCGAAGCGCUUAUUGCCAUCGACUUGUCCCCCAAUUCACUUAGGCGGGCACUGGGCUGCAGCUAAGUCCCCGAGCGAGAGGUUUUCCCUCCACUCGGUAGGAUUUCAGACACUUAGGCGAGCACUGGGCCGCAGCUAAGCCCCCGAGUGGGAGGUCUGCUCUCCACUCGGUAGGAUUUCAGAAACUUAGGCGAGCACUGGGCUGCAGCUAAGCCCCCGAGUGGGAGGUCUGCUCUCCACUCAGUAGGAUUUCAAACACUUAGGCGAGCACUGGGCUGCAGCUAAGCCCCCGAGUGGGAGGUCUGCUCUCCACUCGGUAGGAUUUCAGACACUUAGGCGAGCACUGGGCUGCAGCUAAGCCCCCGAGUGGGAGGUCUACUCUCCACUCGGUAGGAUUUCAGACNNNNNNNNNNNNNNNNNNNNNNNNNNNNNNNNNNNNNNNNNNNNNNNNNNNNNNNNNNNNNNNNNNNNNNNNNNNNNNNNNNNNNNNNNNNNNNNNNNNNNNNNNNNNNNNNNNNNNNNNNNNNNNNNNNNNNNNNNNNNNNNNNNNNNNNNNNNNNNNNNNNNNNNNNNNNNNNNNNNNNNNNNNNNNNNNNNNNNNNNNNNNNNNNNNNNNNNNNNNNNNNNNNNNNNNNNNNNNNNNNNNNNNNNNNNNNNNNNNNNNNNNNNNNNNNNNNNNNNNNNNNNNNNNNNNNNNNNNNNNNNNNNNNNNNNNNNNNNNNNNNNNNNNNNNNNNNNNNNNNNNNNNNNNNNNNNNNNNNNNNNNNNNNNNNNNNNNNNNNNNNNNNNNNNNNNNNNNNNNNUAAGCCCCCGAGUGGGAGGUCUGCUCUCCACUCGGUAGGAUUUCAGACACUUAGGCGAGCACUGGGCUGCAGCUAAGCCCCCGAGUGGGAGGUCUGCUCUCCACUCGGUAGGAUUUCAGAAACUUAGGCGAGCACUGGGCUGCAGCUAAGCCCCCGAGUGGGAGGUCUGCUCUCCACUCGGUAGGAUUUCAAACACUUAGGCGAGCACUGGGCUGCAGCUAAGCCCCCGAGUGGGAGGUCUGCUCUCCACUCGGUAGGAUUUUUGAAUUGGUGGCGCAACUCGGAAGGAGAGGGUAGCAGUCGACCUGCACCUCGUCCUCCUUGCGGAACGCAUGUUGUACUUGUACUUAGGCGAGUUCUUGGACUGCAGCUAGGCCUCCGAGUGGAAGGCUGGCUUACCACUCGGUAGGAUUUUAUUUAUCUUAGGCGAGUACUUGGACUGCAGCUAAGCCUCCGAGUGGAAGGCUGGCUUACCACUCGGUAGGAUUUUAUUUAUCUUAGGCGAGUACUUGGACUGCAGCUAAGCCUCCGAGUGGAAGGCUGGCUUACCACUCGGUAGGAUUUUAUUUAUCUUAGGCGAGUACUUGGACUGCAGCUAAGCCUCCGAGUGGAAGGCUGGCUUACCACUCAGUAGGAUUUUAUUUAUCUUAGGCGAAACGGAUUUUACAGCUAAGCCUUCGUGUGGGAGACUGACUCACCACUCGGUUAGGAUUUGUUUUUACAGACUUAGGCGAAUCGGAUUCGCAGCUAAGCCACCCACUGGGGGAUUGUUUUAUAUGGACAAAAGUAAUAACAAUCACUGGGAAAACUAUAAAGCUCUUGUCUUUGAUAAAUAAACUACAGGAGUACUUUUAUUACAACUCAUCCGAGUGAAUACCUAAGUGUAAAAGGGGCGGAGAAGCUCCGCGUUCCAAGCUCGGGGCUCGUCAAUCUGAUGCUUGACAUUGUAAAGACGGUAUGCUCCAUUGUGGAGAACCUUGGUGACCAUGAAGGGACCUUCCCAAGAAGGAGCAAGCUUGUGUGGUUUCUGCUGGUCCACUCGGAGAACUAAAUCUCCUUCCUGGAAGGCUCGACUCUUCAUGUUUUUGGCGUGGAAGCGACGCAAGUCUUGUUGAUAAAUGGUCGAUCUGAUCAGAGCCAUCUCUCUUUCUUCCUCUAAAAGGUCGACUGCGUCCUGCCGCGCUUGUUCUGCUUCAGCUUCGGUGUAGAGCUCGACUCGGGGAGCGUUGUGGAGAAGAUCACUCGGCAAGACUGCUUCAGCUCCGUAGACCAAGAAGAAUGGAGUUCUUCCAGUCGACCGGUUGGGUGUGGUCCUUAACCCCCAAAGCACCGAGGGAAGUUCGUCAACCCAUGCACCAGCCGCAUGCUUGAGAUCACGCAUCAAACGGGGCUUCAACCCUUUGAGAAUUAAACCGUUGGCUCAUUCUGCCUGUCCAUUCGUCUGCGGAUGGGCAACUGAAGCAUAGUCGACUCGCGUGCCUUGAGACGUGCAGAAAGCUCUGAAUUCUUCAGAAUCGAAGUUUGACCCGUUAUCAGUGAUGAUGUUGUGCGGGACUCCAUAUCUAAAUAUCAGUUCUCGGAUGAAGCUGACAGCGGUACCAGCAUCGAGGUUCUUGAUGGGUUUGGCCUUAAUCCACUUGGUAAACUUGUCGACUGCUACCAGCACAUGUGUGAAACCGCUUCUUCCUGUUCUCAAUGGGCCAACCAUAUCCAAACCCCAUACAACAAAGGGCCAGACAAGUGGUAUGGUCUUUAAGGCUGAGGCAGGCUUGUGUGACAUAUUGGAGUAAAAUUGACAUCCCUCACACUUGUCGACUAUCUCCUUCGCCAUUUCAUUCGCUCUGGGCCAAUAAAAACCAGCUCGGUAUGCUUUGGCCACGAUGGUCCGAGAAGACGCAUGAUGGCCACAGGUCCCCGAGUGGAUGUCAUUGAGAAUCAUUCGACCUUCCUCCGGUGUUAUGCAUUUCUGGCUGACUCCAGUCGCACUUUCUCUGUACAACUGACCUCUCAUGACGGUGAAGGCUUUGGACCGGCGGACGAUCUCUCGAGCUUCUUCUUCAUUCUCGGGGAGUUCCUUCCUCAAAAUAUAGGCGAUGUAGGGCACUGUCCAAUCGGGAGUGAUGACCAAAACUUCCAUGAUCAAGUCGACCACCGCUGGGACCUCGACUUCAGUCGGAUCUGUGGCGCUUUUAGGCUGCGGGGCUUCUGCAGUGAAAGGAUCCUCUUGAACCGAUGGCGUGUAGACAUGUUCCAAAAACACGCCACUCGGAAUGGCUUCCCUCUUGGAACCUAUCUUUGCCAAGUCAUCGGCUGCUUGAUUUUUCAGUCGGGGAACGUGAUGGAGUUCUAACCCUUCGAAUUUCUUUUCAAGCUUCCUCACUGCAUUGCAGUAUCUAGUCAUGGAUGGGCUUCUCACGUCCCACUCCUUCAUCACCUGAUUGACCACCAAAUCUGAGUCGCCGUAAACCAUAAGGCGACGGACGCUGAGUGAAAUGUCCAUGCGCAACCCAUACAACAGUGCUUCAUAUUCUGCUUCAUUGUUGGAGGAAUCAAAGUGGAUCUGGAGCACAUAUCUGAGCUUAUCUCCUCGGGGAGAAACCAAAACUACCCCAGCACCAGAACCAUUUAACAUCUUAGAGCCAUCAAAGAACAUGGUCCAAUGCUCCGAGUGAACUUGAGUCGGCUGCUGCUGUUCAAUCCACUCGGCAAGGAAAUCUGCUAUAGCCUGGGACUUAAUGGCUUUCUUUGCCUCGAAUUUGAUAUCAAGGGGAAGGAGUUCAAUCGCCCAUUUAGCCACUCGACCAGUUGCAUCUCUGUUGUGCAGAAUCUCCGACAAUGGUGCGUCGCUGACGACUAUAAUGUCAUGAUCAGAGAAAUAAUGAGCAACCUUCUUCAUGGUCAUGUAGAUCCCAUAUACGAGCUUCUGAUAAUGAGGAUAUCUUUGCUUCGAUCGGGUCAAAACUUUAGAGAGAUAAUACACUGGGCGCUGAACUUUGAAGGCUUUCCCUUCUACUUCCCGCUCGACCGUAAGUAUUGUACUGACGACUUGUCCUGUGGCUGCAAUAUAAAGCAACAGUGGCUCUUUACUGAUUGGAGCGGCAAGCACCGGCUAGGUGGAGAGCAGAGUUUUUAACUCGGCAAACGCUGCAUCAGCUUUUGGAGUCCACUCGAACUUGUCUGCCUUCUUCAUCAGUCGGUAAAGGGGCAACGCCUUUUCACCGAGGCGAGAGAUGAAUCGACUUAACGCGGCCAGGCAUCCAGUAAGCUUCUGGACAUCGUGCACACGCACAGGGCGUUUCAUUCGGAGUAUGGUGCCAACUUUUUCUGGGUUAGCAUCGAUUCCUCGUUCCGAAACGAGAAAACCGAGUAACUUCCCACCAGGUACUCCGAAUGUGCACUUUGAAGGAUUGAGCUUGAUAUCAUACCUCCUGAGAUUGGCAAAUGUUUCAGCUAAGUUAGUCAACAGGUCGGAACCCUUUCGCGACUUGACCACGAUAUCAUCCAUGUAUGCUUCCACAUUCCAACUAAUUUGAGUGAGUAAACACUUUUGAAUCAUUCUCAUGAAUGUGGCUCCGGCAUUCUUGAGGCCGAAAGGCAUGGUGAUAUAGCAGAAGCACCCGAAUGGGGUGAUGAAAGCUGUUUUGAUUUCAUCGGGCCCAUACAGACGGAUCUGAUGAUACCCGGAAUAAGCGUCCAGAAAAGACAAUCUCUCGCACCCUGCGGUCGAGUCGACAAUUUGGUCGACGCGAGGGAGAGGAAAAUGAUCUUUCGGGUAGGCCUGAUUGAUAUGUUUGAAAUCAAUGCACAUACGAAGGGAAUUGUCCUUUUUGCGAACCAUAACGACAUUGGCGAGCCACUCGGAGUGGUAUAUCUCUCGGAUGAACUCUGCUGCAAGGAGUCGAGCCACCUCUUCGCCAAUGGCUUUUUUGUUCUGAACAGCGGACCGUCGAAGAUGUUCUUUAACGAGUUUUGCCUUUGAAUCGACUCUAAGGCGAUGCUCAGCCAGUCCCCUGGGAACACCUGGCAUGUCAGCUGGCUUCCAUGCGAAGAUGUCCCAGUUCUCACGGAGGAACUGGAUGAGCGCUUCUUCCUAUUUAGAGUCGGGUGUAGUGGAAAUAUGGGUCGGAGCUGCAUUGGGGUCAGUCGGGUGGAUGUGAACUGGCUUCGUCUCACCGGACGACUGAAAUGCUGACUCUGUGGCGGGCUUCUUGGCUCGCAGUAAAUCACUCGGAUCUGCGUUCUUCUUGUACCCCUCUAGCUCUAUCACUGUUAUCUGGUCAUCCGCAAUCUUUGAGCCUUUCUGGAAACACUCUUCUGCUUUCUUCCGGUUACCAGUGACGGUGAUCACGCCUUUGGGGCCAGGCAUCUUUAACUUGAGGUACACGUAACAUGGUCGAUCCAUGAAGCGGGCGUAGGCUGGUCUUCCCAAGAUAGUGUGGUAGGCGCUCUGGAAAUCCACGAUUUCAAAUGUCAGCUUCUCUUUGCGGAAAUGCUUCGAGUCACCGAACACCACAUCCAGAGCUAUUUGGCCGAGUGACUCAGCCUUCUUUCCUGGGAUGACUCCGUGAAAACUCAUGUUGCUGGAACUGAGCCUGGACAUCGGAAUGCCCAUUCCCUUGAGCGUCUCUGCAUAUAGUAUGUUCAACCCGCUGCCGCCAUUCAUCAAUACCUUCGUCAGUCGAGUGCCUUCGACGACCGGGUCGGCCACCAGUGCUUGCCUCCCAGGGGUGGCAAUAUGAGUAGGAUGGUCCGACUGGUCGAAAGUAAUGGGAGUUUGCGACCAUCUCAGAUAGUUUGGUGUUGCUGGUGCGACCAUAUUGACUUCACGGUUGAUCACUUUCAGUCGACUUUUGCUCUCUACAUCAGCAAAAAUCAUCAGAGUGAAGUUGACAUGAGGGUACUCACCAUCACUGUCCUGCUUGUCCUCAGCCUUGUCUGACUCCUUCUCUUUGUCCUUCAGCUGUUUCCCUUGGAACUGCUGGAUUAAGAGCCGGCACUGGCGAGUGGUAUGCUUUGGGUAGAUGAAGUUACCCUCUUCGUCUUUCUUCGUGUGGAUAUGACACGGCAGGUCCAUCACAUCAUUACCCUCCUUAUCUUUUACCUUCUUGGGGUUCCAAGAUCCUUUGGGCUUCCCUUUAAAUUUGCCCUGUGUCACGGCUAGAGCCUCUCCAGGAGCUGCUGGCUCGGCCUUCCGCUUCUGCUUCCGACUGGAGUUUCCUUUAUCCGACUAACUCGGCUUGUACUUGCCGCUCCGGAGUCGGUCCUCUUCUUCGCCGUUGGCGUACUUGGUGGCUAUUUCCAUCAUCCGACUCAGGGUCAUGUCUCCAGUUCGACCAAACUUCAGGCUCAACUCUUUGUUCUUGACGCCAUCUUUGAAGGCGCAAACCGCUUGAUGGUCCGACACAUUCUCUACAGUGUGAUGCAAAGUGAUCCACCUCUGGAUGUAAUCCCUCAGUGUUUCACUCGACUUUUGUACACAAACUUGUAGCUCAGUUAAUCCAGCAGGUCGCUUGCAAGUUCCCUCAAACGUCCUGACGAACACUCGAGAAAGAUCUACCCAGGUGUAAAUGUUGCUGGGAGCUAACUGAUUCAACCAUGCCCUGGCUGAACCUCCUAGAAUAAGUGGCAAAUGUUUCAUGGCCACCUCAUCAUUACCGCCACCAAUCUGAACAGCCACUCGGUAGUCUUCGAGCCAAGUUUCAGGCUUAGACUCUCCGGUGAACUUAUUCACCCCAUUCGCCAACCUGAAGUUGGGGGGUAUCACUGCGGUUCUGAUCGCUCUGCGAAAACAUUCUGGACCUGAAACAUGGACUCGGCUGCUUGUGGGCACAUCUCUGUCAUGACCACCUCUAUGAGCUCUGUUUCAGUCGACCAAACCUUGCACGAUGAUGGAUCUCGCGUCAAAGCCUGGCUCUCUGGGGUCGACUGGAGCUCUCUGCCCAACACUGAGCUGGCUUCUAUCAUCUUGCUGCCGAUGGGCGUUAGACCCACUUCUCGGAGGAGGAGUGGGCACUCGACGCCUGUCAUCACGAUCAAAUCGAUCAUCAUAGUGGUCCCGCCGGCCUUCACGUCCCACGCGCCUCGGAGGCGACCUUGGACUGUCAGCUGACUGAAUAGUAUUCGCAGCAACAGAUCGACUGUGAAUCCUGUUAGGUGACUGUGACACAGCUGAAUUCUGAUCUCCUGCUGCCCGGAGCAAAUCUCUGAUCUGCAUCAAGCCUCUUCCAGCCUCUGACUGAGAGGGCUGAAUUGACUCUGCUAUGCGGGCUGCAGCUGCCAAAUUCUGAAUUGGGGUUCGAUAUACCUGAGUUGGUUGCGGAAAGAGCUGACGUCGAUUGGAGUUAGUCGCUCGUUGACGCGCAUGCUCGUCGAGUGCUCGCUGAAGGUUCUCCAGUCGAGUGUGUUCAGCCAGGUUGGCUAAACGCGCCUCUUCCAGGGCACGAGCCUCAGGAGUUUCUCCUGCAAUGGGAGUAUGCAGGGCAUCCAUGUUCUGGCGGCGAAGUUCUUCCCUCUGCUGGGAAGUGAGCGGCUCGGGUUGGUACUCUUCAUGGGCUUGAGCAGGGUCAUCCUCGUCGUCCAUCCCGUCGCCACGGGGGAAACCGGGAGGACUACGGGGCCCAUUGACCAUCAGGACCUCCGCCGUCGGAUCACUGCUAUCGCACUCGGAUGCAGCCUCUACAGAGCCAGUCGACAGGUCGAAUAGGCCGUAGAGAGAUCCGUCAGGCUCAAUCGCCGCGACUUGGGUGGUGGCCGAUUGGCGAGCCACUGCGUGUCUCACCCAUCGCUGGAGCCUCAACCGACCGGAGCGCUUGCGCUGGCGGGAGACAGGGAGGGAGGACGGCGCAGGAGUCGACCGGUAUGGGGUCGACGGCUGCCGCAGCAAGACGCUGCGGACACACACCCGAAAGUGCAUCGCCCCGCGGACGGGGAGCGCUCCGAUGUCGAGUGGUGCCUCCUGGAGCCAAGCGGAGUCGUCGGCGAUGAAAGUGAGCGCACCGAGACGGAUCUCGUGGCCCUCGACCAGAGCUCUGCCAGAAACCAUGAUGAAGGCGAUCGGACAAAUUGCAACUUCUCCAAAAAAGUCGCUAAGACACCUGCCCCACGGUGGGCGCCAACUGUCGUGGUUCUAAGUCUGACAGUAGAAUGGGGGGUAAGUAUGGAAAGGCAAGGUCCUAGCUAUGGAGUAGUUGUACACACGGGUGUUUAGCGAGUUCAGGCCCUUCUCUGAGGAAGUAACAGCCCUACGUCUCGGAGCCCGGAGGCGGUCGACUGAUCUCUGUGUAUAUGAGUUACAGGGGUGCGAAACUUUCUACCAGUGGAGGGGGGUGGCUUAUAUAGAGGACGCCAGGACCCCAGCCAGCCCACGUAGGGGGGGUAAAAGUACAUUAAGGCUGGGCGUUAUUGGUAACGCCCUACAUAAAGUGUCAUCAUGACCAUUAAGACUAUUUAAUUACAAACCGUUUGGAUGCAGAGUAGAUCCUGAACUUCCGAUAGUCGAGUGCGUCUUCAUGGUCGAGUGUCUUCUAGCCGGUCGAGUGGAGUCUCCCUUGGUCGAGUGGAGCUUCUUUUGGUCGACUGGAAGGUAGCUUCAUAUGAUAAUGUCCUUGGGCAUGGUAUCCUAGAUAGGUCCAUGACCCUACCCUAGGUACAUAACCUCAUCAGUGACCCCGUGGACGAAAAAGGUCUGAACAUUUUUCUGAUUUGCACACACCCUGUCGAUCCUGGACACACCAGAAAAGGCCAAUCUUUUUUAUUUAGCUGCCUAUGUUUUUACACAAAACUAUGAAGAACAUAGAGGGCAGCUUUGGGUCACGGAAAAAACUUAUACUGUGUGCAAAAGAAAUCAUGAUUUCAGCAGCACUGAAUAUGUACAGCAAAGGUCGAAACAAUUUAUCAAAAAAUGUGUCUGUGUUUCAUUCUUCCGCAAUACAAUAAGAAGUCCACCACUAAAGCUUUUUCCUCCUCCACAAGUAAAGUCCCUUAUCCUCCGGUCGGCGUCGCCGUCGGUCCGCCCCAUCUCUGAUGGCCUCUGGGCCAUGGAGUCGCCGAGGAUCCCAGCCCUUGUUCUCCUCCUUGUUAGAUUUAGCGUCUUGGUUGGGGUUGGGUGGAGGCGGCGAUGUCCCUUAAUAGGAAUAAUGUAUGAUUGGUUAUCUUUGUAAGUAUCUUCGAGUUAUCAGUUUGGUUUGGCCUACUAGAUUUAUCUUUCUUGCAAUGUUAGAAGUGCUUAGCUUUGGGUUCAAUCUUGCGGUGUCCUUUCCCAGUGACAGCAGGGGCAGCAAGGCACGUAUUGUAUUGUUGUCAUCGAGGAUAAAAAGAUGGGGUUUAUAUCAUAUUGCUUGAGUUUAUCCCUCUACAUCAUGUCAUCUUGCCUAAUGUGUUACUUUGUUCUUAUGAAUUUAAUACUCUAUAUGCAAGCUGGAUAGCGGUCAAUGUGUGGAGUAAUAGUAGUAAAUGCAGGCACGAGUCGGUCUACUUGUCGUGGACGUGAUGCCUUGAUACGUCUCCAACGUAUCUAUAAUUUUUUAUUGUUCCAUGCUAUUAUAUUACCCGUUUUGGAUGUUUAUGGACUUUACUUUACACUUUUAUAUUAUUUUUGGGACUAACCUACUAACCGGAGACCCAACCCGUAUUGCUGUUUUUUUUGCCUAUUUCAGUGUUUUGAAGAAAAGGAAUAUCAAACAGAGUCCAAACGGAAUGAAACCUUCAGGAGCGUGAGUUUUGGAACAAACGUGAUCCAAGGGACUUGGAGUGCAAGUCAAGAAGCAAUCGAGGCGGCCACCAGGGUGGAGGGCGCCCCCUAUCUCGUGGGCCCCUCGGGCGUCCACCGACCUACUUCUUCCUCCUAUAUAUACCCACGUACCACGAGAACAUCAAAGGCGACCACGAAAAACUAUUUCCACCACCGUAACCUUCUGUAUUCACGAGAUCCCAUCUUGGAGCCUUCGUCAUUGCUCCAUCGGAGAGGGAAUCAACCAUGGAGGGCUUCUACAUCAACACCAUAGCCUCUCCAAUUAGUUGUGAGUAGUUUACCACAGACCUUCGGGUCCAUAGUUAUUAGCUAGAUGGCUUCUUCUCUCUCUUUGAAUCUCAAUAUCAUGUUCUCCUCGAUCUUCUUGGAGAUCUAUACGGUGUAACUCUUUUUGCGAUGUGUUUGUCUCGAUCCGAUGAAUUGUGGGUUUAUGAUCAAGUUUAUCUAUGAGAAAUAUUUGAAUCUCCUCUGAAUUCUUUUAUGUGUGAUUAAGUUAUCUUUGCAAGUCUCUUCAAAUUAUCAGUUUGGUUUGGCCUACUAGAUUGAUCUUUCUUGCAAUGGGAGAAGUUCUUAGCUUUGGGUUCAAUCUUGCGGUGUCCUUUCCCAGUGACAGCAGGGGCAGCAAGGCAUGUAUUGUAUUGUUGUCAUCGAGGAUAAAAAGAUGGGGUUCAUAUCAUAUUGCAUGAGUUUAUCCCUCUACAUCAUGUCAUCUUUCUUAAUGCGUUACUCUGUUAUUUAUGAACUUAAUACUCUAGAUGCAUGCUGGAUAGCGGUCGAUGUGUGGAGUAAUAGUAGUAGAUGCAGGCAGGAGUCGGUCUACUUGUUAUGGACGUGAUGCCUAUAUACAUGAUCAUGCCUAGAUAAUCUCAUAAUUAUUUGCUUUUCUAUCAAUUGCUCGACAGUAAUUUGUUCACCCACCGUAAUACUUAUGCUAUCUUGAGAGAAGCCACUAGUGAAACCUAUGGCCCCCGGGUCUAUCUUUUAUCAUAUAAGCUUUCAAUCUACUUUUAUUUGCAUCUUUACUUUUCCAAUCUAUAUUAUAAAAUACCAAAAAUAUAUUUAUCUUAUCAUACUAUCUCUAUCAGAUCUCACUUUCGUAAGUGGCCGUGAAGGGAUUGACAACCCCGUUAUUGCGUUGGUUGCGAGUUCUUGUUUGUUUGUGUAGGUGCGUCGGACUUUUGAGGAGCCUCCUACUGGAUUGAUACCUUGGUUCUCAAAAACUGAGGGAAAUACUUACGCUACUAUUGUUGCAUCACCCUUUCCUCUUCAAAGAAAACCAACGCAAGCUCAAGACGUAGCAUGCCUAUAUACAUGAUCAUGCCUAGAUAUUCUCAUAACUAUGCACUUUUCUAUCAACUGCUCGACAGUAAUUUGUUCACCCGCCGUAAUAUUUAUGCUAUCUUGAGAGAAGCCACUAGUGAAACCUAUGGCCCCGGGUCUAUUUUCCAUCAUAUAAGUUUCCGAUCUACUUUAUUUAGCAAUCUUUACUUUUCAAUCUAUAUCAUAAAAAUACCAAAAAUAUUUAUCUUAUUAUUAUCUCUAUCAUAUCUCACUUUCGCAAGUGGCCGUGAAAAGAUUGACAACCCCUUUAUCGCGUUGGUUGCGAGGUUCUUGUUUGUUUAUGUAGGUACGAGGGACUUGCGUGUAGCCUCCUACUGGAUUGAUACCUUGGUUUUCAAAAGUUGAGGGAAAUACUUACGCUACUUUGCUGCAUCACCCUUUCCCGCUUCAAGGGAAAACCAACGCAGUGCUCAAGAGGUAGCAAGAAGGAUUUCUGGCGCCGUUGCCGGGGAGGUCUACGCACAAGUCAAGACAUACCAAGUACCCAUCACAAACUCUUCUCCUCGCAUUACAUUAUUUUCCAUUUGCCUCUUGUUUUCCUUUCCCCCACUUCACCCUUGCCGUUUUAUUCGCGCUCCCUUUCCCGUUCGCCUCUUUUUCCGCUUGCUUCUUGUGGUACUUGCUUUCACUAUGUCUGAAACUGGGGAGGUUAUCAUUGAUAAGGACAAUAGUAAUAACAUGGGAAACUUUGAUGCUUUUGAUGAUCCUACUGAAGAAACCACUAUCUUACAUACUAAAAGAUUUCGAAUCGGUAGUGGUAAUAUUAUUGGAAAAGGGGUUAUUCAAGAUUCUUUACUUGUGUUGGUGCUUUACCUUCUAUGGGUGGAUCUAUUCUUCAUAGAACUAGUAGUCUUGCGGAUGCUAUAUCCUUGCUUAUAGUUGAACUUGAAAGACAGUUUAUGCAUAUGCAUCCUUGCAUACAAAGGAUUUUUCUAGAAUUUUCCAAUAUUGAGCAUUCUUCUGUUAAGCGCGCAGCUACUAUCUUUUUGGCACAUGAGUUCAGAUUUAUAAUAAAAGAAGCCAGAGAAAUCUUUGCGCACUAUAGGGUGGACGCUGGUCGCCCUCCCAUUUAGGCGAUCCUUUUUAAUCAAGAAGACAUAAUGCGUUUACAAUCCUUAGAUCGUGUUGCUUUUAAUGAAAACCUUAGGAAAAAGGUUCCUACCGAUGUUCUAGUUGAUAGAAUCUCUGAACUUAAUGAUGAUUUUGCUAUUCAUAACAAUGGGUUGGGAUUUUCUCUUGAGCAAAGGCUCAUGACUUUUUGCCAAAAGAAUGCUUAUAAUGAUGAAUUGGUUGUGUAAUAUGAAGGGCCAAAGGAGGAACCCAUACCUCCCGAGCUUGAUCUUGGGGACUUUUGUCCCAUUAAAUUUAGCCCUUUUGAUUACUUUUGCUUGCCACAAAGAAAACUUGUUGUUGAACGUAGGGAAUAUGAGAUGAGUUUUCGUGAUUUACCUUAUCAUUACGGCAAUAAUUAGAUCUAUUCUCGCUUUUAUGCCUAGCUAGGGGCGUUAAACGAUAGCGCUUGUUGGGAGGCAACCCAAUUUUAUUUUUGUUCUUUACUUUUUGCUCCUGUUUAGUAUUAAAUAAUUCAUCUAGCCUCUGGUUAGAUGUGGUUUUAUGUUUUAGUUAGUGUUUGUGCCAAAUAGAACCUAUAGGAUCAUCUUGGGUGAUAGUUAAUUUGAUCUUGCUAAAAAACAGAAACUUUUGCGCACACGAGAAUAAUUUUAAUAAAUCACAGAAACAUGAUUUUGAGUUGAUUAUUUUUUAAGAAGAUUAAUAGACAAAUUUACUAGGACUUCCUAUUUUCGUAGGACUUUUAAGGUUCUAGAAGUAUUCGAAAGUUACAGAUUACUACAGACUGUUCUGUUUUUGACAGAUUCUGUUUUUUGUGUGUUGUUUGCUUAUUUUGAUGAAUCUAUGGCUAGUAUCGGGGGGUAUGAACCAUAGAUAAGUUGGAAUACUGCAGGUUUAACACCAAUAUAAAUAAAGAAUGAUUUCAUUACAGUACCUUAAAGUGGUGGUUUGCUUUUUUGCACUAACGGAGCUCAUGAGAUUUUUUGUUGAGUUUUGUGUUGUGAAGUUUUCAAGUUUUGGGUAAAGAUUUGAUGGAUUAUGGAAUAAGGAGUGGCAAGAGCCUAAGCUUGGGUAUGCUCAAGGCACCCCAAGAUAAAUUCAAGGACAACCAAAAGCCUAAGCUUGGGGAUGCCCCGGAAGGCAUCCCCUUGUCUUCAUCUAUCAGUAACUUUACUUGGAGCUAUAUUUUUAUUCACCACAUGAUAUGUGUUUUGCUUGGAGCGUCUUGAAUGAUAUGAGUCUUUGAUUUUUAGUUUACCACAAUCAUCCUUGCUGUACACACAUUUUGGGAGAGACACACAUGAAUCGGAAUUUAUUAGAAUACUCUAUGUGCUUCACUUAUAUCUUUUGAGCUAGAUAAUUUUGCUCUAGUGCUUCACUUAUAUCUUUUUAGAGCACGGCGGUGGUUUUAUUUUGUAGAAAUUAUUGAUCUCUCAUGCUUCACUUAUAUUAUUUUGAGAGUCUUUUAGAACAGCAUGGUAUUUGCUUUGGUUAUAAAAUUAGUCCUAAUAUGAUGGGCAUCCAAGUUGGGUAUAAUAAAAAUUGUCAUAGAAAGUGCAUGAAACACUAUAAGAAAUUUGAUACUUGAUAAUUGUUUUGAGAUAUAAAGGUGGUAAUGUUAGAGUCAUGCUAGUUGGGUAAUUAUGAAAUUGAGAAAUACUUGUGUUAAAGUUGGCAAGUCCCGUAGCAUGCACGUAUGGUAAACGUUGUGUGACAAAUGUGUUGCACGGGGUGUUCUUUUGAUUGCCUUCCUUAUGUGUGGAGGUCGGGAUCGCGCGAUGGUUAACUCCUACCAACCCUUCCCCUAGGAGCAUGCGUAGUAGUACUUUGCUUCGAGGGCUAAUAAACUUUUGCAAUAAGUAUAUGAGUUCUUUAUGACUAAUGUGAGCCCAUGGAUUAUACGCACUCUCACCCUUCCACCAUUGCUAGCCUCUCUUGUGCCGCGCAACUUUCGCCAGUAUCAUACACCCACCAUUUACCUUCCUCAAAACAGCCACCAUACCUACCUAUUAUGGAAUUUCUAUAGCCAUUCCAAGAUAUAUUGCCAUGCAACUCUCCACCGUUCCGUUUAUUAUGACACGCUCCAUCAUUGUCAUAUUGCUUUUGCAUGAUCAUGUAGUUGACAUCGUAUUUGUGGCAAAGCUACCGUUAUAAUUCUUUCAUACAUGUCACUCUUGAUUCAUUGCAUAUCCUGGUACACCGCUGGAGGCAUUCACAUAGAGUCAUAUUUUGUUCUAAGUAUUGACUUGUAAUUCUUGAGUUGUAAAUCAAUAAAAGUGUGAUGAUCUUCAUUAUUAGAGCAUUGUCCCAAGUGAGGAAAGGAUGAUGGAGACUAUGAUUCCCCCACAAGUCACUAUGAGACUCCGGACCUCAUGAUAAAUAAAAGAGGCCAAAGAAGCCCAAAUAAAAAAGAGAGGCCAAAGAAGCCCACCCAAAAAAAUGAGAGAAAAAGAGAGAAGGGACAUUGUUACUAUGCUUUUUCCAGACUUGUGCUUCAAAGUAGCACCAUGAUCCUCAUGGUAGAGUCUCCUAUGUUGUCACUUUCAUAUACUUGUGGGAAUUUUUCAUUAUAGAACUUGGCUUGUAUAUUACAAUGAUGGGCUUCCUCAAAAUGCCCUAGGUCUUUGUGAGUAAGCGAGUUGGAUGCACACCCACUUAGUUUCUUUUGUUGAGCUUUCACACAUUUAUAGCUCUAGUGCAUCUGUUGCAUGGCAAUCCCUACUCACUCACGUUGAUAUCUAUUAAUGGGCAUCUCCAUAGGCCGUUGAUACGCCUAGUCAAUGUGAGACUUUCUCCUUUUUUGUCUUCUCCACACAACCUCCAUCAUCAUAUUCUAUUCCACCCAUAGUGCUAUAUCCAUGGCUUACGCUCAUGUAUUGCGUGAGAGUUGAAAACGCUGAAGCGCGUUAAAAAGUAUGAACCAAUUGCUUGGCUGAAACCGGGGUUAUGCAUGAUGGGAGUAUUUUGUGUGACAAAAAUGAAGCAUAGCCUAACUAUAUGAUUUUGUAGGGAUAAGCUUUCUUUGGCUACAUUAUUUUGAUAAGACAUGAUUACUUGUUAGUAUGCUUAAAGUAUUACUAUUUUUAUGUUAAUAUGAACUUUUAUUUUGAAUCAUUUGGAUCUGAACAUUCAUGCCACAAUAAAGAAAAUUACAUUGAGAAAUAUGCUAGGUAGCAUUCCACAUCAAAAAUUCUGUUUUUAUCAUUUACCUACUCGAGGACGAGCAGGAAUUAAGCUUGGGGAUGCUUGAUACGUCUCCAAGGUAUCUAUAAUUUUUUAUUGUUCCAUGCUAUAUAUUACCCGUUUUGGAUAUUUAUGGGUUUUACUAUACACUUGUAUAUCAUUUUUUGGACUAACCUAUUAACCGGAGGCCCAGCCCAAAUUGUUGUUUUUGCCUAUUUCAGUGUUUCGCAGAAAAGGAAUAUCAAACGGAGUCCAAACGGAAUGAAACCUUCGGGAGAGUUAUUUUUAAAACAAACGCAAUCCAGGAGACUUGGAGUGGAUGUCAAGAAAAAAACAAGGCGGCCAUGAGGCAGGGAGGCGCGCCCUAGGGGGGUGGGCGCGCCCCCCACCCUCGUGGGCCCCUCGUGGCUCCUCUGACCGACUUUCUUCGCCUAUAUAUAUCUACAUACCCUGAAAACAUCCAGGAGCACCACGAAACCCUAUUUCCACAACCGCAACCUUCUGUACCCGUGAGAUCCCAUCUUGGAGCUUUUUCCGGCGCUCCGCCGGAGGGGGAAUCGAUCACGGGGGGCUUCUACAUCAACACCAUAGCCUCUCCGAUGAGUUGUGAGUAGUUUAUCACAGACCUUCGGGUCCAUAGUUAUUAGCUAGAUGGCUUCUUCUCUCUCUUGAAUCUCAAUACAAAGUUCUCCUCGAUCUUCUUGGAGAUCUAUUCGAUGUAAUUCUUUUUGCGAUGUGUUUGUGGAGAUCCAUGAAUUGUGGGUUUAUGAUCAAGUUUAUCCAUGAGAAAUAUUUGAAUCUCCUCUAAAUUCUUUUAUAUAUGAUUGGUUAUCUUUGCAAGUCUCUUCGAAUUAUCAGUUUGCUUUGGCCUACUAGAUUUAUCUUUUUUGCAAUGGGAGAAGUGCUUAGCUUUGGGUUCAAUCUUGCGGUGUCCUUUCCCAGUGACAGCAGGGGCAGCAAGGCACGUAUUGUAUUGUUGCCAUCGAGGAUAAAAAGAUGGGGUUUAUAUCAUAUUGCUUGAGUUUAUCCCUCUACAUUAUGUCAUCUUGCCUAAUGCGUUACUUUGUUCUUAUGAACUUAAUACUCUAGAUGCAUGCUGGAUAGCGGUCGAUAUGUGGAGUAAUAGUAGUAGAUGCAGGCAGCAAUCGGUCUACUUGUCGCGGACGUGAUGCCUAUAUACAUGAUCAUGCCUAGAUAUUCUCAUAACUAUGCACUUUUCUAUCAAUUGCUCGACAGUAAUUUGUUCACCACCGUAAUACGUAUGCUAUCUUGAGAGAAGCCACUAGUGAAACCUCUGGCCCACGGGUCUAUCUUUUAUCAUAUAAGCUUUCAAUCUACUUUUAUUUGCAUCUUUACUUUUCCAAUCUAUAUUAUAAAAAACCAAAAAUAUAUUUAUCUUAUCAUACUAUCUCUAUCAGAUCUCACUUUCGCAAGUGGCCGUGAAGGGAUUGACAACCCCUUUAGCGCAUUGGUUGCGAGGUUCUUGUUUGUUUGUGUAGGUACGAGGGACUUGCGCGUAGCCUCCUACUGGAUUAAUACCUUGGUUCUCAAAAGCUGAGGGAAAACUUACGCUACUUUGCUGCAUCACCCUUUCCUCUUCAAGGGAAAACCAACACAGGGCUCAAGUGGUAGCAAUGGGUUUUCCACUGAAUCUCACAUUCCAGGAUCCUAGCAUUUAUAGCAUGAAAUAUAAACUCUUAAUAAUGAACCUGGAAAUAUAAUAAUAUUAUAUUAUUGCCUCUAGGGCAUAUUUCCAAUAGUAUUCAACUUGCACUGAAGUCAAUAAUCUAGUUAGCACAUUUUUAUUUACACCAAUGGCAGUCUGGUGUUUGUCCAUACUCAGCUUGUGGUAUAGCCUUCAUCCCAUUGGAUCUUGAAAACUUCAUAUCCACGUGUAUCAUAUGCAUUUCAAUGCCUCUAUCAUGAUGGCUUUGUAUGUAUUGAAUCACUAGAAGGACCUAUGAUUCCUUGGACUGAGCUAUAGAACCACUAUUAAGUAUAGUGUUUCAUUGGCACAAUCAUCUAGAAAUCAUAACAAUCUCAUAAAUGAAAGUGUUAUUGAUCACUCUCCAUUGUUGCUUCUAAAGCAACAAUCUACUCAGCCCUCUGUUAUAGAUUUCACCACAGUAACCAACAACCCAACAAACACACUGCAAAAAACAUUACAUCGGAUAGAACUCCAAGAAGAUCGAGGAGAACAUUGUAUUGAAGAUCAAAGAGAGAAGAAGCCACUAGCUACUAGCUAUGGACUCGUAGGUCUGCGGUGAAUUGCUCACACAUCAUCGGAAGGCGGCACGGAUGAUGCAGAAGCCCUCAGUGAUCGAUUCCCCCUCCGGCGGAGUACCGGUAAAGCCCUCCAGAUGGAAUCGCGGAAGAAUAGAAGCUUGUGGUGGUGGAAAAAGUGUUUCGGAUGGCUCUCUGUUGGUUUGGGAAUAUUUGUGAAUUUAUAGGCUUGGAAUUAGGUCAAACGGAGUUGCGUGGGCCCAUAAGCUCAGGGGGCGCACUUUGUGAGCUCGUGGCUCUCUUGUAGCUCUUCUGGCCUCCUCCCGAACCUUCUAGGACCCCUUCUGGUCCAGAGAAAAUAACCAUAAUUCAUCGUAUUUGGACUUCGUUUGGUAUUGUUUUUCUGAAAAGCCAAAACAAGUAAAAAAUAGGAACUAGCACUGGGCAAUGGGUUAAUAGGUUAGUCCCAAAAGUGGUAUAAAAUAGCAUAAAAAUGCAUAUAAUCCAGGAUUGAUAAUAUAAUAGCAUGAAACAAUCAAAAGUUAUAGAUAUAUUGGAGACGUAUCAGCAUUCCCAAGCUUAAUUCCUGCUCGUCCUUGAGUAGGUAAAUGAGAAUAACAGAAUUUUUGUGUAUACAUGUAUUAUUUGUAGUGAGAUAUGUACAUGACAAAGAGCGAUACUACUGCCAGGAUCAGACCAAUGUACAUGACAUAAGAAAGAGGUGGCACAUCUCUGAAUGCAAGGUCCAUGGCAACAAGCAGACGCAAUGGAAAAGACAGAUUGUUUUGUCAUCUUUUGCAGCGCCAUCCUUUAGUAUGUCAGGGAGCAGCUAAGGAAUGAAAUCAUGCUCCAUUUUGGAUCAUAAGAUUUUAAUUUGACCAUAAGCUAAGCCUCCACCACACGAAAAGUGAUGAAAAUACAAAAUUUGUUAUGUGAUGCAAUACAAUGCAAAUCUUAUGUACUCCCUCUGUAAAGAAAUAUAAGAGCGUUUAGAUCAUUACUUUACACGUUACCAUCGUAAUCUCAAGCUUUGAAUUUAGUACUACUCAUUAAUCAAUUGUGUGAUCUUAAGAAAAUGCUAUACCUCUAAAAUGAACAACUAAAAGGUCAUGAGACACGUAGUGAUCUCCAAAUAAAUUGGUUGUUCUAGGGGAAAAGUGAUGAAAAGUGUUGUUCUAGGGGAAAAGUGAUGACAAGCAUGGAUUAUCUGUUUCGUCAUCUUGGGAGGGGGAGGGUCAUCCACAUGACCACAAGCCAAGCCCACACCCCACGUCAAGUGAUGCAAAUCCCAAUCAUGUCAUGUCAUGAUUUACAAUGCAAAUCUUCUUUAAAACUUUACACAUUGGCAUCACUAUCUUAAGCUUGGCAUUUGGUACUCCCUACGAUCCAUAUUUGUUGUCGCUCAAACGGAUGUAUCUAGCACUAAAAUACAUCUAGAUACAUCUGUUUCAGCGACAACUAAUAUGAAUCAAAGGGAAUACUACUAAUUAGUUGUGUGAUCUUAAUAAAACACCAUGCUUCUAAAAUGAACAGGUCACGAGGCGUGUACCAAUCUCCAGAUGAAUUUGAUGUUCUACAGAAUUCAUAUGUGCGGAAAGAUAAGACUGAAAACCGCACACUUACCCGGGAUAGGAUGGGAUAUUUUGAGAAAUAGAUAAGGAUUAGUUCAGGUUUCUCCCAUAUAUACGAAAUGACUGGACGAUGACUAAUUAAACGAGAGACAACAAACCACUUAUCUUCCUUUAUGACUCAAUUGAUCGAGAGCCUUCCCAAGUUGCUUUUGCGGUUUUGUUGGUCACAAUGCAGAUGCUUUGAACCUUUGCACAACCGUGGGCAUGUGGCUCCCGUUAAAUAGCCACAAGAUACCAUAAAAUUAGCACUUCCAAAGUUCCCAUUUACUCUCUCUUCCUCUCAAGUCUAACCAAAGCCCAACAAACCACCACCUCGGCCAUGGCAACCACCCUCGCCACCGACGUCCGCCUCUCCAUCGCGCACCAGACCCGCUUCGCCCUCCGUCUCGCCUCCACCAUCUCAUCCAACCCUAAGUCUGCUGCCAGCAAUGCCGCCUUCUCCCCGGUCUCCCUCUACUCCGCACUUAGCCUCCUCGCCGCUGGCGCGGGCAGUGCCACUCGGGACCAACUCGUCGCCACACUCGGGACAGGCAAGGUCGAGGGACUCCACGCGCUCGCCGAGCAGGUGGUCCAGUUUGUGCUCGCCGACGCGUCCUCCACUGGUGGUCCGCNNN
Molecule: long non-coding RNA, 29145 nt
Filed under: Triticum aestivum (bread wheat)
Lineage: Eukaryota; Viridiplantae; Streptophyta; Magnoliopsida; Poales; Poaceae
Description: long non-coding RNA (TAES_LNC007790)
Source: RNAcentral